RNAcentral lists this non-coding RNA (233 nucleotides) under Peptoniphilus harei. Its description in RNAcentral is "T-box sequence". It matches the Rfam family "T-box leader". From Rfam's summary of the family: Uncharged tRNA acts as the effector for transcription antitermination of genes in the T-box leader family. T-boxes are found upstream of many aminoacyl-tRNA synthetase genes and some amino acid biosynthetic genes usually in Gram-positive bacteria. The record is from RNAcentral. Lineage: Bacteria; Bacillati; Bacillota; Tissierellia; Tissierellales; Peptoniphilaceae.
AUUGAAGCGUUGAAAGAGAAAAAAGAAUUUUUAGUGAUUUUAAGAGAGUUGCCGGCUGGUGAGAGGCAAUACACGGAAAUUUAACAUACACUCUAAAGCUUAUUUGUUGAAGUUAGUAGGCAAGUACGGAAGCCACCGUUAUCUGAGGCUAGAGGUUGUUAGACCUUAAAGUGAGGUAAUCUUUUAGAUUAUAAAAUCGGGUGGUACCGCGAAGUCAGUCUUUCGUCCCAAUG